Electrophorus electricus (electric eel) is the source of this 462-nucleotide non-coding RNA. The record is from RefSeq and is a predicted model, not a curated record. Lineage: Eukaryota; Metazoa; Chordata; Actinopteri; Gymnotiformes; Gymnotidae.
UCUGCUGCUGUCGCUGGACUUUGGAACCGUAAAGCUUGUCAAUAAUUAAUGCAGCUAUACAUAAUACUAGAGUUAUUCAGCAUACUACAUGGAAAGCAGAAUUACAACUGCAUAGCAUGCUGGUAAACCUUGUGUAAAUCAGAAUGACCCUAACCCUGACGAGCGUGUACUGACCAGAGCCUUCAGCAGGUGCGUUGUGAAGCUUGUCUGCAGUCUCUUCAUUAAUGGUGCUGGUAUUUUCUGCAGUUUCUGUUAUUGUAACGUGUUGCAUUAACCAUCAGAUCUGCAUGUGUCAUGGAAAGCAUGAAGUCUCCGCCCAUAAAACCAUGCAAAGCUCCAGCAUCUCCUACACAGCCCAUGGGGUUGGGCAGUCCUGAGUUACUCCAGGAACUGAAGCAGCCUCACACUCUGAAACAUGUUCCACCCCACACAGGCCUCACCACAGUGUUCUCUGGACGAGGA